RNAcentral lists this transfer RNA (73 nucleotides) under Candidatus Woesearchaeota archaeon. RNAcentral describes it as "tRNA-Gln". It matches the Rfam family "tRNA". From Rfam's summary of the family: Transfer RNA (tRNA) molecules are approximately 80 nucleotides in length. The record is from RNAcentral. Lineage: Archaea; Nanobdellati; Candidatus Woesearchaeota.
AGCCCCGUAGUGUAGUGGCCAAUCAUCGCGCACUUUGGAUGCGUGGACGGCGGUUCGAAUCCGCCCGGGGCUA